GCGGAAUUUGCGGGAUUGGAAAACGCACCAGAUUUAGGUUCUGGCGCCGCAAGGUGUGAGAGUUCAAGUCUCUCUUUCCGCCCCC
RNAcentral lists this transfer RNA (85 nucleotides) under Vibrio parahaemolyticus. Its description in RNAcentral is "tRNA-Leu". It matches the Rfam family "tRNA". Rfam says of the family: Transfer RNA (tRNA) molecules are approximately 80 nucleotides in length. Their secondary structure includes four short double-helical elements and three loops (D, anti-codon, and T loops). The record is from RNAcentral. Lineage: Bacteria; Pseudomonadati; Pseudomonadota; Gammaproteobacteria; Vibrionales; Vibrionaceae.